Non-coding RNA from Taxawa tesnikishii (nom. ined.), 87 nucleotides. Lineage: Eukaryota; Fungi; Ascomycota; Dothideomycetes; Dothideales. The record is from the annotation of a GenBank genome assembly.
UCCGAAAUGGUCUAGUGGCUAGGAUUUGUCGCUCUCAUCUCUCCCGAUGGCGCCGACAAGGCCGGGGUUCAAUUCCCCGUUUCGGAA